GACUUGCAGACCAUUCUCGUCCCCAGUGCUACUCGUCCUAAAAUGUCGUUGACGAGUAGCUCUUGACGCACCAAAAAAUUCGAAUUUUUUCAUUGGCUGAAGAAAAUGAAUGCGCAGCAGAAAUGAAAAUUACAAAGCUCUACGCAUUCUAUUUUACUUCCGGCCCGAAUGGUGGCACCUUCGCUCAGUUGACACAGGCGCGCUUUACGAAAAAAAAAACGCAAAACAGGUGGUGACCUUUCCCGAUCGAUCCGAAUGAAUCGUUAAAGUUUCCACGUAACCAAAGAAGAAGGUCGCCUACGACGAUGUCAUUCGCGAUCGUAAUCAUCGUCCUUUGUUGUGGCAGCCGAGAGGGUGGGAAGAAACGUUUAAAACUCUGAGAAUCAACCAGCUGAUACAACAAUUACUUUGUCGCUGACCAUACCCCAAGAAAUCAUAAAAUUAAGUUCGAAUCGGCAGUGGGUUUCAAGAAACGUUUGUCUUCCUCUAUGAAAAGCUCAAAAGGAAACUUAGAGCCAGGUGAAAAGACGAAGAAAUAUCACUCUUUCUAAGCAAAUGUGGCACUGGAAAUCCGAAGACCAUAAUAGUGCUACAUAAAUUCCUUGAAGGAUGACCAUAUAUGGAUAAUUCAAAUAGGAAUGUUGGUCUUGCAGUUCGAUAAAUAAUACUGAAAAAAAAGGAGAUGGAGGUAGAAUCAUCGUUAAUAGUAAAGCUAUGUGGUUGAUGUUCUGAUCAAGCACAAGAAGUAGAAAGUAUGCAUUCAAGAUUUGUUGUUGUACAUGGUUAUAUAACAGGCUGAAGAGCCUUAUUACCAUGAACUAACACGAAUUGUAGAAGAGCAACGACAUUGCAUUAUUUCCCAUUCAUUUUGUUCAUGCAGUUUCCUAAAAAAAAAAAUCUUCCAUAAUGUAAAUUGAGGCACACCAAUAUGAAUCACUCUCUUCACAUCAGGAACCUCUACAUGUAUACCAAUGCCAAAUACUAAUGUUAUAGUUACAUCAUUUUAGCUGUAUUAUAUUUUUGAUAACACCAUGUACUCAUAUGGGAAUACUGAAAUAAAUUGUUGUUGUUGUUGUUGUUG
Orbicella faveolata is the source of this 1081-nucleotide long non-coding RNA. The record is from RefSeq and is a predicted model, not a curated record. NCBI's taxonomy places the organism in Eukaryota, Metazoa, Cnidaria, Anthozoa, Scleractinia, Merulinidae.